CCUACGGGAGGCAGCAGUGAGGAAUAUUGGUCAAUGGGCGGGAGCCUGAACCAGCCAAGUCGCGUGAAGGAAGAAGGUACUUAGUAUUGUAAACUUCUUUUGUCGGGGAACAAAGGCGGAGACGCGUCUCCGGAUGAGUGUACCCGAAGAAAAAGCAUCGGCUAACUCCGUGCCAGCAGCCGCGGUAAAACGGAGGAUGCGAGCGUUAUCCGGAUUUAUUGGGUUUAAAGGGUGCGCAGGCGGGAGAUCAAGUCAGCGGUAAAAUGUCGGGGCUAAACCCCGGCCGGCCGUUGAAACUGGGUGUCUAGAGUGGGAGAGAAGUAUGCGGAAUUCGUGGUGUAGCGGUGAAAUGCAUAGAUAUCACGAAGAACUCCGAUUGCGAAGGCAGCAUACCGGCUCCAUACUGACGCUGAGGCACGAAAGCGUGGGGAUCGAACAGGAUUAGAUACCCGAGUAGUC
Molecule: ribosomal RNA, 459 nt
Filed under: uncultured bacterium
Lineage: Bacteria
Description: partial 16S ribosomal RNA
Rfam family: Bacterial small subunit ribosomal RNA
Source: RNAcentral